RNAcentral lists this ribosomal RNA (637 nucleotides) under uncultured bacterium. RNAcentral describes it as "bacterial SSU rRNA". It matches the Rfam family "Bacterial small subunit ribosomal RNA", at positions 202 to 842 of the family's 1533-position model. The record is from RNAcentral.
UAAAGAUUCAUCGCUGAUAGAUAGGCAUGCGUUCCAUUAGGCAGUUGGCGGGGUAACGGCCCACCAAACCGACGAUGGAUAGGGGUUCUGAGAGGAAGGUCCCCCACAUUGGUACUGAGACACGGACCAAACUCCUACGGGAGGCAGCAGUGAGGAAUAUUGGUCAAUGGGCGUAAGCCUGAACCAGCCAAGUCGCGUGAGGGAUGAAGGUUCUAUGGAUCGUAAACCUCUUUUAUAAGGGAAUAAAGUGCGGGACGUGUCCCGUUUUGUAUGUACCUUAUGAAUAAGGAUCGGCUAACUCCGUGCCAGCAGCCGCGGUAAUACGGAGGAUCCGAGCGUUAUCCGGAUUUAUUGGGUUUAAAGGGUGCGUAGGCGGCCUUUUAAGUCAGCGGUGAAAGUCUGUGGCUCAACCAUAGAAUUGCCGUUGAAACUGGGAGGCUUGAGUAUGUUUGAGGCAGGCGGAAUGCGUGGUGCAGCGGUGAAAUGCUUAGAUAUCACGCAGAACCCCGAUUGCGAAGGCAGCCUGCCAAGCCAUGACUGACGCUGAUGCACGAAAGCGUGGGGAUCAAACAGGAUUAGAUACCCUGGUAGUCCACGCAGUAAACGAUGAUCACUAGCUGUUUGCGAUACACAGUAA